Molecule: long non-coding RNA, 275 nt
Organism: Cololabis saira (Pacific saury)
Lineage: Eukaryota; Metazoa; Chordata; Actinopteri; Beloniformes; Belonidae
Exons: 3
Source: RefSeq, a predicted model, not a curated record
GCUUUGGAAGGAAAUCAAGCUGAUUCCAUCUGGAUCCACCCUAUUGUGGAAGUCAGCCAGGAGACAUGGAAGCGUGGCACAAGAUAACGUCCAGGGGUGUGGUUAAGGUCCAUAAAAUCACUACGGGAGAAACAUUUGGAGCAGAAAAGCAGCUGCUGAAACAAAUGACAGAUGGGCUACAUGUGAAGUUCACAAGCCCAGAGGAGAGUGAUGUCAUCAUUGUCUUCUGUCCAAUCAGUUCUUGUGGGUCAGAUGUGGAUGCAGCCAUGAGGGAG